AAUCGAAAAGACUUGCCGUGACCGCUCUUUGCUGGUGAGUUUAACAUGCUUUAAAUUUUGUACGUUUUGCAUACCUCAAACUUUAUGUUUCAUUAUGUUACUUCAUUUUCUUUAGGAAUCACAAAUACCAUGAUUUGUUUGCAGUCGGACAUGGAUCUUGUAAGUCAAUUACACAAUCUAAUAUAUACAGUUAAUAAUAUUUAUUUCAGAAUGGCGCUGUAAUUAUUUAAUUUUGUAGAUGACUUUCUCAAGCAAACCAGAGGGAUGAUAUGCUUUUACAGUUUGAAGAACCCAUCUUAUCCUGAGUACGUUUUGCUGAAGUUGUUUCUGCUUGUAUUGUAGGUCGUGAAACAUAAUUUAUAAAUGUGGUUCUGCAGACGCAAUUAAGUUACUAAAAGCACUUACUUUAUAUAAUAAAUAUUAUUAUACAGCUAUAUUGCCAUGUAAUUCAGAGUGAUAAUGCUUAAUUAUUGCUAACCGGAGAGACCCUUUACCAGGAUUGUAUUAAUUGUGGUUAUAUAUGAUUGUUUUUAGGUAUAUAUUCCAUACAGAAAGUGGUGUAAUGUGUUUAGAUGUUCAUCCUGAGCACUCCAAUCUUGUCGCUGUUGGAUUUUAUGAUGGUAUAGUA
Molecule: non-coding RNA, 628 nt
Organism: Paramuricea clavata
Lineage: Eukaryota; Metazoa; Cnidaria; Anthozoa; Malacalcyonacea; Plexauridae
Source: the annotation of a GenBank genome assembly